AACGUAGGAGACGAGCGUUAUCCGGAUUUACUGGGCGUAAAGCGCAUGCAGGCGGGUUAUUAAGUCACAUGUGAAAUCGCCCGGCUCAACUGGGGGAGGACGUGUGAAAAUGCUGAACUAGAGAGAGGUAGAGGCGAAUGGAAUUCCGGGUGGAGUGGUGAAAUGCGUAGAGAUCCGGAGGAACACCAGUGGCGAAGGCGAUUCGCUGGACCUACUCUGACGCUCAGACGCGACAGCAUGGGGAGCGAACGGG
RNAcentral lists this ribosomal RNA (253 nucleotides) under uncultured bacterium. RNAcentral's name for it is "partial 16S ribosomal RNA". It matches the Rfam family "Bacterial small subunit ribosomal RNA", at positions 524 to 776 of the family's 1533-position model. The record is from RNAcentral.